Molecule: ribosomal RNA, 347 nt
Filed under: uncultured Clostridium sp.
Lineage: Bacteria; Bacillati; Bacillota; Clostridia; Eubacteriales; Clostridiaceae
Description: bacterial SSU rRNA
Rfam family: Bacterial small subunit ribosomal RNA
Source: RNAcentral
UGGGGGAUAUUGCACAAUGGGCGAAAGCCCGAUGCAGCGACGCCGCGUGAGGGAAGACGGUUUUCGGAUUGUAAACCUCUGUCUUCGGGGACGAAAAUGACGGUACCCGAGGAGGAAGCCACGGCUAACUACGUGCCAGCAGCCGCGGUAAUACGUAGGUGGCGAGCGUUGUCCGGAAUUACUGGGUGUAAAGGGAGUGUAGGCGGGAGAGCAAGUCAGAAGUGAAAAUUAUGGGCUUAACCCAUAACCUGCUUUUGAAACUGUUCUUCUUGAGUGAAGUAGAGGCAAGCGGAAUUCCUAGUGUAGCGGUGAAAUGCAUAGAUAUUAGGAGGAACACCAGUGGCGAA